UACGGAGGUCUCAAGCGUUGUUCGGAUUCAUUGGGCGUAAAGGGUGCGUAGGCGGCGCGGUAAGUCGGGUGUGAAAUCUUGGAGCUUAACUCCGAAACUGCAUUCGAUACUGCCGUGCUUGAGGACUGGAGAGGAGACUGGAAUUUACGGUGUAGCGGUGAAAUGCGUAGAUAUCGUAAGGAAGACCAGUGGCGAAGGCGGGUCUCUGGACAGUUCCUGACGCUGAGGCACGAAGGCCAGGGGAGCAAACGGG
RNAcentral lists this ribosomal RNA (253 nucleotides) under uncultured bacterium. RNAcentral describes it as "partial 16S ribosomal RNA". It matches the Rfam family "Bacterial small subunit ribosomal RNA", at positions 524 to 776 of the family's 1533-position model. The record is from RNAcentral.